Molecule: long non-coding RNA, 960 nt
Organism: Panthera uncia (snow leopard)
Lineage: Eukaryota; Metazoa; Chordata; Mammalia; Carnivora; Felidae
Exons: 2
Source: RefSeq, a predicted model, not a curated record
AUAACACCAUGUAGGAGCGCCUGGCUGGCUCCGUUGGUAGAGCAUGCAAGUCUUGAGCUCAGGGUCGUGGGUCGUGAGUUCAAGCCCUACCUUGAGGGUGGAGCCUUCUUAACAACAACAACAACAAAAAAGGUCCAAACACGGAAUUCUAAGUACGAGUCUUUUGAAAAGAGAUCAGCUGCCCAAAGAGCCUUCUUGAAAAUGCAAGGCAACCUCAGCAGAAACAAUCUGGAACUACACAAGAUGCAGAAGCUGACAGCGGCUGGCACGUGACCAAUCUGUUUAUCAAGAGAGCUAGAGUCAGAGUGGCCACGCAGGGUAAUCUCCAAGAAGUUUCCAUGAGAGAAAAAGGCAGCUUUAAGAAUCUACAAAGACCAGAGGAAACCACUGCAAAAUGAUGCUGCUGUCAGUAAAGUCUUACUUUUCUGUCCCCUAUCCCUACCUUUGAUGCUGCCAGAGCAAUCUAGGGAGUAGAAGAGAAGGGUAGAAGUCCUAAGUAGGAUUAUACAGAAGGUGACCAUGCUCCCAUCCUACCAUUAACCCAGUAUAGGCUUCCUAUCUACACGCGUGAAAGAAAAAGAUCUUUAAAUAAAAUUCCAACUUACGACUGUGUGGGACUGUCUAUUUUAAUUACUGAUAGAUUAUUCUUGGGACUAAAAAUGAAUAGAGAUGUUCUUGUUCUUUAACAGUAACUGGAGAAAUGAAUGGAACUGCCCAAGAUUUUAACCAAGGAGUCAGUGCUUAAUGAUUGUACCUACAGAGAUACUCUUGGUUCAACAUCACUGAAUCAUAUGGACUUAGAGGUCAUGUCUAGUCAUGUUUGAAAAAAUACAACUACAGAUACAUAACCAAGUAUUAUAGUCAAAAAGGUAUGUGUUAGUCCCUUUCUUUAACAUCAAUGUGACAAAGCAUUCUACUGUACUUAAUCACUAUUUCAUAUUACUUGAAAACUGAGGGGGG